RNAcentral lists this ribosomal RNA (492 nucleotides) under uncultured bacterium. Its description in RNAcentral is "partial 16S ribosomal RNA". It matches the Rfam family "Bacterial small subunit ribosomal RNA", at positions 29 to 507 of the family's 1533-position model. The record is from RNAcentral.
AGUGAACGCUGGCGGUAGGCCUAACACAUGCAAGUCGAACGGCAGCACAGUAAGAGCUUGCUCUUACGGGUGGCGAGUGGCGGACGGGUGAGGAAUACAUCGGCAUCUACUUUUUCGUGGGGGAUAACGUAGGGAAACUUACGCUAAUACCGCAUACGACCUACGGGUGAAAGCAGGGGAUCUUCGGACCUUUCGCGAUUGAAUGAGCUGAUGUCGGAUUAGCUAGUUGGCGGGGUAAAGGCCCACCAAGGCGACGAUCCGUAGCUGGUCUGAGAGGAUGAUCAGCCACACUGGAACUGAGACACGGUCCAGACUCCUACGGGAGGCAGCAGUGGGGAAUAUUGGACAAUGGGCGCAAGCCUGAUCCAGCCAUACCGCGUGGGUGAAGAAGGCCUUCGGGUUGUAAAGCCCUUUUGUUGGGAAAGAAAAGCAGCAGGUUAAUACCCCGCUGUUCUGACGGUACCCAAAGAAUAAGCACCGGCUAACUUCGUG